AACAAAAAGCAGAUUUAUGGGCAUUUUUUAAAAGGCAUUUUCCACUAAGUGCCUCGUAAAAAUCUUCACGGGGCAGUACCUGCUAAGUGCCGCAAUUUGUUGGACCUAAUGGGGUAGUUUCCCUUGCAACGUGUGCUGGUGAAUAGGAUUUGGUGAUCUAAGUAUAGCAGGGGCACUUGCAAGUGCCUCAAAAAAUAGGGCAUUAUCAAUCAAUUGAGUUUAAAAGGCUGAAAACGACAUCGCUGAUAUCUAAUCUAAUAGGGCACUUCUCCCCUAGGUGCCUCAAUACUGUUCUUUGGAUUCAAAUUUUGGCCAAGUCUCAUUUUGGCACUAUAAUCUCUCGCGAAUUGGGGAACUGGCGCUUUUAAUUUCUUUUUCAAACCUUAGAAAGUGUUACACAAUUCGGUACACAAUCCACUCUUCCCUCUGUCUCCUCCGAGUUCUCUCUUCCCUCUCUCUCCUCAGAUAUUGAAUUGCAACGGCAGAUUGGAAGGGUUUCUGUGCAUCUUUUACUCUUCCCCUCGGUGUCCGUUCGCCGUGUGUGAGAGAUGCAACUAUGCAGUGUAUAUUUUGUGUGUUCCUUCAAUUGUACUUUGGAGAAGACUAAUCCCCGUCAAGAGAAACCAACUUGUUACAGAGAAAAAGAUUGAAUAAAGGCGCUAACCAUAUUCAGCAACAAUUGGGUAUCUGAUCUUCUUCAACCCUCACCACCAAGAGCUGAUGUCAUGAUGGUAAUAGCAUUUGUUUUCUCUUUAUCUAUUGUAAUUUCAAUUUAUGAGACUUCAAUUUUUUGCAAUUUUGAAUAAGAACAUAGAGUUUUGCUUUUUCUGUUGGA
This is a long non-coding RNA of Rhododendron vialii, 835 nucleotides long. RefSeq lists it as uncharacterized. The record is from RefSeq and is a predicted model, not a curated record. NCBI's taxonomy places the organism in Eukaryota, Viridiplantae, Streptophyta, Magnoliopsida, Ericales, Ericaceae. The transcript has 3 exons.